RNAcentral lists this ribosomal RNA (1485 nucleotides) under Phycisphaeraceae bacterium. RNAcentral's name for it is "bacterial SSU rRNA". It matches the Rfam family "Bacterial small subunit ribosomal RNA". Lineage: Bacteria; Pseudomonadati; Planctomycetota; Phycisphaerae; Phycisphaerales; Phycisphaeraceae. The record is from RNAcentral.
CAAUUGAAGAGUUUGAUCAUGGCUCAGACUGAACGCUGGCGGCAUGGCUAAAGCAUGCAAGUCGAACGUGCCCGCAAGGGAAAGUGGCGGACGGGUUAGUAAUGAGAUCGAACGUACCCCGGGGUGGAGGAUAGGGCGGGGAAACUCGCCGUAAUACUCCAUGAUGUCGAGAGACCAAAGGUUACGCCCUGGGAUCGGCGAUCUUCCUAUCAGGUAGUUGGCGGGGUAAAGGCCCACCAAGCCGAAGACGGGUAGCGGGUGUGAGAGCACGACCCGCAACAUCGGAACUGAGACACUGUCCGGACUCCUACGGGAGGCUGCAGCAACGGAUCUUCCGCAAUGGGCGAAAGCCUGACGGAGCAAUGCCGCGUGUGGGAUGAAGUACCUCUGGUAUGUAAACCACUGUCAGGAGGCAAAAACACUGAUUGCCUCCAGAGGAAGUGGCGACUAACUCUGUGCCAGCAGUCGCGGUAAGACAGAGGCCACAAGCGUUAGUCGGAAUCACUGGGCUUAAAGGGUGCGUAGGCGGUCUUUCAAGCGUCCUGUGAAAGCCUCCGGCUCAACCGGAGAACAGCAGGGCGAACUGAAAGACUCGAGGUUGGUAGGGGCUCACAGAACAGUCGGUGGAGCGGUGAAAUGCGUAGAGAUCGACUGGAAUGCCGAUGGCGAAGGCGGUGAGCUGGGCCAAUUCUGACGCUGAGGCACGAAAGCGUGGGGAGCAAACAGGAUUAGAUACCCUGGUAGUCCACGCCGUAAACGAUGUAUGCUAGAUCGGUGCGGUUUUGACGCCGUAUCGGCCGACGCGAAAGCGAUAAGCAUACCGCCUGGGGAGUACGGUCGCAAGGCUAAAACUCAAAUGAAUUGACGGGGGCUCACACAAGCGGUGGAGCAUGUUGCUUAAUUCGAGGCAACGCGAAGAACCUUACCUGGGCUUGACAUGGCCGGAUUAGUCCCAUGAAAGUGGGAGUAGGCCCGCAAGGGUACAACGGUCACAGGUGCUGCAUGGCUGUCGUCAGCUCGUGCUGUGAAGUGUCGGGUUAAGUCCCUUAACGAGCGCAACCCUUGUCGUUAGUUGCUCGGCGCAAGCCAGUACUCUAGCGAGACUGCCGGUGUCAAACCGGAGGAAGGUGGGGAUGACGUCAAGUCCUCAUGGCCCUUACGCCCAGGGUUGCAAACGUGCUACAAUGGCGCGCACAAAGCGAUGCGAGGUCGCGAGACGGAGCAAAUCGCAAAAAACGCGCCCCAGUUCGGAUUGCAGGCUGCAACCCGCCUGCAUGAAGUCGGAAUCGCUAGUAAUCGGAGAUCAGCUACGCUCCGGUGAAUGUGUUCCUGAGCCUUGUACACACCGCCCGUCACGUCAUGGGAGCCCGGGGUGCCCGAAGCCGCCACAUUUCAGUGGUGUCUACGGCAAGACGGGUGACUGGGACGAAGUCGUAACAAGGUAGCCGUAGGAGAACCUGCGGCUGGAUCACCUCCUUUCUAAGG